RNAcentral lists this unclassified non-coding RNA (403 nucleotides) under soil metagenome. RNAcentral describes it as "partial contains 5.8S ribosomal RNA, internal transcribed spacer 2, and large subunit ribosomal RNA". The stretch from base 1 to 120 matches the Rfam family "5.8S ribosomal RNA", at positions 35 to 154 of the family's 154-position model. The record is from RNAcentral.
GAUGAAGAACGCAGCGAAAUGCGAUAAGUAAUGUGAAUUGCAGAAUUCAGUGAAUCAUCGAAUCUUUGAACGCACCUUGCGCCCUUUGGCAUUCCGAAGGGCAUGCCUGUUUGGGUAUCAUGAACACCUCAACUCUUCAUGGUUUUCCAUGAUGAGCUUGGACUUUGGGGGUCUUGCUGGCCUGCGGUCGGCUCCUCUCAAAUGAAUCAGCUUACCAGUGUUUGGUGGGCAUCACAGGUGUGAUAACUAUCUGCGCUUGUGGUUUUCCACCAAGUAACCUUCAGCAGUGGAGGUUCACUGGAGCUCACAGACGUCUCUCCUCAGUGAGGACAGCCCUUUGAAUGUUUGAUCUCAAAGCAGGUAGGACUACCCGCUGAACUUAAGCAUAUCAAUAAGCGGAGGA